Molecule: ribosomal RNA, 468 nt
Filed under: uncultured bacterium
Lineage: Bacteria
Description: partial 16S ribosomal RNA
Rfam family: Bacterial small subunit ribosomal RNA
Source: RNAcentral
GACGAACGCUGGCGGCGUGCUUAACACAUGCAAGUCGAACGGAAAGGCCCUGCUUUUGUGGGGUGCUCGAGUGGCGAACGGGUGAGUAACACGUGAGUAACCUGCCCUUGACUUUGGGGUAACUUCAGGAAACUGGGGCUAAUACCGGAUAGGAGCUCCUGCUGCAUGGUGGGGGUUGGAAAGUUUCGGCGGUUGGGGAUGGACUCGCGGCUUAUCAGCUUGUUGGUGGGGUAGUGGCUUACCAAGGCUUUGACGGGUAGCCGGCCUGAGAGGGUGACCGGCCACAUUGGGACUGAGAUACGGCCCAGACUCCUACGGGAGGCAGCAGUGGGGAAUAUUGCACAAUGGGCGGAAGCCUGAUGCGGCAACGCCGCGUGCGGGAUGACGGCCUUCGGGUUGUAAACCGCUUUCGCCUGUGACGAAGCGUGAGUGACGGUAAUGGGUAAAGAAGCACCGGCUAACUACGUG